This 429-nucleotide RNase P RNA is filed under the name Nostoc sp. RNAcentral's name for it is "RNase P RNA component class A". It matches the Rfam family "Bacterial RNase P class A". From Rfam's summary of the family: Ribonuclease P (RNase P) is a ubiquitous endoribonuclease, found in archaea, bacteria and eukarya as well as chloroplasts and mitochondria. Its best characterised activity is the generation of mature 5'-ends of tRNAs by cleaving the 5'-leader elements of precursor-tRNAs. Cellular RNase Ps are ribonucleoproteins. RNAcentral also lists the same sequence under 1 other name. Lineage: Bacteria; Bacillati; Cyanobacteriota; Cyanophyceae; Nostocales; Nostocaceae. The record is from RNAcentral.
AGAGUAGACGCAGGCGGUUGCAGAUCAGUCCUAGUUACUGGUUUGAGGAAAGUCCGGACUCCCGAAAAACCAAACUUGCUGGAUAACGUCCAGUGCGAGCGAUCGUGAGGAUAGUGCCACAGAAAGAUACCGCCAGGAUUAGGGGCUGGGGACUAGGGACUGGGGACUGGGAAGAAUUUUCCUAAUCCCCAAUCCCUAAUCCCCAAUCCCCAACCUGGUAAGGGUGCAAAGGUGCGGUAAGAGCGCACCAGCAGUAUCGAGAGGUGCUGGCUCGGUAAACCCCGGUUGGGAGCAAGGCGAUAGGAACUACGGUUGGUUUUUUACCAGUUCCGCUCAAUGAGAGCCGCUAGAGGCGUUUGGUAACAAGCGUCCCAGAUAGAUAACUGCCCUCGCAAGAGAACAGAACCCGGCUUAUGUACUGCUCUUUCC